GUGAGUCAUCGAAUCUUUGAACGCAUCUUGCGCUCUCUGGUAUUCCGGAGAGCAUGUCUGUUUGAGUGUCAUGAAUUCUUCAACCCAACUGUUUCUUGUAAACAGCUGGUGUUUGGAUUCUGAGCGCUGCUGGCUUCGUGCCUAGCUCGUUCGUAAUACAUCAGCAUCCCUAAUACAAGUUUGGAUUGACUUGGCGUAAUAGACUAUUCGCUAAGGAUUCGGUGGAAACAUCGAGCCAACUUCAUUAAGGAAGCUCCUAAUUUAAAAGUCUACCUUUUGAUUAGAUCUCAAAUCAGGCAGGAUUACCCGCUGAACUUAA
RNAcentral lists this ribosomal RNA (319 nucleotides) under uncultured fungus. Its description in RNAcentral is "eukaryotic LSU rRNA". The stretch from base 1 to 71 matches the Rfam family "5.8S ribosomal RNA", at positions 84 to 154 of the family's 154-position model. The record is from RNAcentral. Lineage: Eukaryota; Fungi.